GCCAAAGGCACUGCUUUCAAACAAAUAUAAGUUUGUUGUUGGAUAUACAAGUACACAGCUACUAAGGACACUGGUGGUUGAGGGUGUAACUGGGGAUCGACUGCAUAACUGUAAAGAGAUAGCUAAUUAAAAUGUGAUGGGACUUACAGUGUCAGUGCUUUCAUACGGUACCUUGAAAUUUUAGGAAUACUAUCCUUCAGUUAUAGUGAAUCCUACCAGCAUUCAGUUGACCAUAACUAUUCAGUAAGAGUU
Molecule: long non-coding RNA, 252 nt
Filed under: Bos taurus (domestic cattle)
Lineage: Eukaryota; Metazoa; Chordata; Mammalia; Artiodactyla; Bovidae
Description: long non-coding RNA NONBTAT022530
Source: RNAcentral